This 301-nucleotide ribosomal RNA is filed under the name uncultured bacterium. RNAcentral's name for it is "partial 16S ribosomal RNA". It matches the Rfam family "Bacterial small subunit ribosomal RNA", at positions 509 to 807 of the family's 1533-position model. The record is from RNAcentral.
CAGUCGCCACGGUAAUACGAAGGGGGCUAGCGUUGCUCGGAAUGACUGGGCGUAAAGGGCGCGUAGGCGGUUUGUACAGUCAGAUGUGAAAUUCCUGGGCUUAACCUGGGGGCUGCAUUUGAUACGUGCGGGCUAGAGUGUGAAAGAGGGUCGUGGAAUUCCCAGUGUAGAGGUGAAAUUCGUAGAUAUUGGGAAGAACACCGGUGGCGAAGGCGGCGACCUGGUUCAUGACUGACGCUGAGGCGCGAAAGCGUGGGGAGCAAACAGGAUUAGAUACCCGCGUAGUCCCUGUCUCUUAUAC